AAGGAAUAUUGGUCAAUGGACGCAAGUCUGAACCAGCCAUGCCGCGUGAAGGACGAAGGUCCUCUGGAUUGUAAACUUCUUUUAUCUGGGACGAAAACGGGAUUUUUAUCUCAAUUGACGGUACCAGAGGAAUAAGCACCGGCUAACUCCGUGCCAGCAGCCGCGGUAAUACGGAGGGUGCGAGCGUUAUCCGGAUUUACUGGGUUUAAAGGGUGCGUAGGUGGGCUUAUAAGUCAGUGGUGAAAUCUCCGAGCUUAACUUGGAAACUGCCGUUGAUACUAUAGGUCUUGAAUUAUCUGGAGGUAAGCGGAAUAUGUCAUGUAGCGGUGAAAUGCUUAGAUAUGACAUAGAACACCAAUUGCGAAGGCAGCUUACUACAUAUAAAUUGACGCUGAGGCACGAAAGCGUGGGGAUCAAACA
RNAcentral lists this ribosomal RNA (420 nucleotides) under uncultured bacterium. RNAcentral's name for it is "bacterial SSU rRNA". It matches the Rfam family "Bacterial small subunit ribosomal RNA", at positions 356 to 774 of the family's 1533-position model. The record is from RNAcentral.